RNAcentral lists this ribosomal RNA (426 nucleotides) under uncultured bacterium. RNAcentral's name for it is "bacterial SSU rRNA". It matches the Rfam family "Bacterial small subunit ribosomal RNA", at positions 354 to 796 of the family's 1533-position model. The record is from RNAcentral.
GUAGGGAAUAUUGCACAAUGGGCGCAAGCCUGAUGCAGCAACGCCGCGUGAACGAUGAAGGCCUUCGGGUCGUAAAGUUCUUUUUGAGGAGACGAGGAAGGACGGUAUCCUCAGAAUAAGGAUCGGCUAACUACGUGCCAGCAGCCGCGGUAAAACGUAGGAUCCGAGCGUUAUCCGAAUUCACUGGGCGUAAAGCGCGUGCAGGCGGUACAGCAAGUUGGAUGUAAAAUCUCCUGGCUCAACUGGGAGGGGACGUACAAAACUGCUGAACUAGAGGACGGCAGAGGAAGGUGGAAUUCCCGGUGUAGUGGUGAAAUGCGUAGAUAUCGGGAGGAACACCAGUGGCGAAGGCGGCCUUCUGGGCCGUACCUGACGCUCAGACGCGAAAGCUAGGGGAGCAAACGGGAUUAGAAACCCUGGUAGUCC